RNAcentral lists this ribosomal RNA (474 nucleotides) under uncultured bacterium. Its description in RNAcentral is "bacterial SSU rRNA". It matches the Rfam family "Bacterial small subunit ribosomal RNA", at positions 428 to 895 of the family's 1533-position model. The record is from RNAcentral.
AAGGACUUUUGUCAGGGAGCAAAACUUACUGGUUAAUACCCGGUGAGGCUGAGAGUACCUGAAGAAUAAGCACCGGCUAACUACGUGCCAGCAGCUGCGGUAAUACGUAGGGUGCAAGCGUUAAUCGGAAUUACUGGGCGUAAAGCGUGCGCAGGCGGACUUUUAAGCCAGAUGUGAAAGCCCCGAGCUUAACUUGGGAAUUGCGUUUGGAACUGGGAGUCUAGAGUCUGUCAGAGGGGGAUGGAAUUCCACGUGUAGCAGUGAAAUGCGUAGAGAUGUGGAGGAACACCGAUGGCGAAGGCAGUCCCCUGGGAUAAGACUGACGCUCAUGCACGAAAGCGUGGGGAGCAAACAGGAUUAGAUACCCUGGUAGUCCACGCCCUAAACGAUGUCUACUAGUUGUUGGGGUAGCAAUACCUCAGUGACGCAGCUAACGCGUGAAGUAGACCGCCUGGGGAGUACGGUCGCAAGAUU